CUCACAUUGUGUAAAUAACACACACGUAUCGGCACAUCCGCCGGGGUGCCUCGGGUGACAUCGUCAUGCUGGGGUCGGCGUUAUGGGAUACGUGGAGGCAUAAC
Molecule: small RNA, 104 nt
Filed under: Serratia odorifera DSM 4582
Lineage: Bacteria; Pseudomonadati; Pseudomonadota; Gammaproteobacteria; Enterobacterales; Yersiniaceae
Description: t44 RNA
Rfam family: t44 RNA
About the family: This family consists of a number of bacterial RNA genes of between 135 and 170 bases in length. The t44 gene is found between the map and rpsB genes in all species in the full alignment apart from Shigella flexneri.
Source: Rfam by way of RNAcentral